RNAcentral lists this ribosomal RNA (726 nucleotides) under Microplitis mediator. RNAcentral describes it as "SSU rRNA". It matches the Rfam family "Eukaryotic small subunit ribosomal RNA", at positions 194 to 869 of the family's 1831-position model. The record is from RNAcentral. Lineage: Eukaryota; Metazoa; Arthropoda; Insecta; Hymenoptera; Braconidae.
GGAAGGAACGCUUUUAUUAGAUCAAAACCAAUCGGUGGCUUGUCCAUCGUUACUUUUGGUGACUCUGAAUAACUUUCUGCUGAUCGUAUGGUCUAGUACCGACGACGAAUCUUUCAAAUGUCUGCCUUAUCAACUGUCGAUGGUAGGUUCUGCGCCUACCAUGGUUGUAACGGGUAACGGGGAAUCAGGGUUCGAUUCCGGAGAGGGAGCCUGAGAAACGGCUACCACAUCCAAGGAAGGCAGCAGGCGCGCAAAUUACCCACUCCCGGCACGGGGAGGUAGUGACGAAAAAUAACGAUACGGGACUCAUCCGAGGCCCCGUAAUCGGAAUGAAUACACUUUAAAUCCUUUAAUGAGGAUCCAUUGGAGGGCAAGUCUGGUGCCAGCAGCCGCGGUAAUUCCAGCUCCAAUAGCGUAUAUUAAAGUUGUUGCGGUUAAAAAGCUCGUAGUUGAAUCUGUGUUUCAUACUGUUGGUUCAUCGCUCGCGGUGUUAACUGACAUGUUAUGGAACGUCCUACCGGUGGAUUUAGCUGAGGUAAAACUUGGCGGUCCAAUUUAAUCCUAUCGCGGUGCUCUUAAUUGAGUGUCGAGGUAGGCCGGUACGUUUACUUUGAACAAAUUAGAGUGCUUAAAGCAGGCUUAUUUCGCCUGAAUACUGUGUGCAUGGAAUAAUAGAAUAGGACCUCGGUUCUAUUUUGUUGGUUUUCGGAAUACCGAGGUAAUGAU